CUGGGUCUAAUACCGGAUAGGAGCGCCUACCGCAUGGUGGGUGUUGGAAAGAUUUAUCGGUUUUGGAUGGACUCGCGGCCUAUCAGCUUGUUGGUGAGGUAAUGGCUCACCAAGGCGACGACGGGUAGCCGGCCUGAGAGGGUGACCGGCCACACUGGGACUGAGACACGGCCCAGACUCCUACGGGAGGCAGCAGUGGGGAAUAUUGCACAAUGGGCGCAAGCCUGAUGCAGCGACGCCGCGUGAGGGAUGACGGCCUUCGGGUUGUAAACCUCUUUCAGUAGGGAAGAAGCGAAAGUGACGGUACCUGCAGAAGAAGCACCGGCUAACUACGUGCCAGCAGCCGCGGUAAUACGUAGGGUGCGAGCGUUAUCCGGAAUUAUUGGGCGUAAAGAGCUCGUAGGCGGUUUGUCGCGUCUGUCGUGAAAGUCCGGGGCUUAACCCCGGAUCUGCGGUGGGUACGGGCAGACUAGAGUGCAGUAGGGGAGACUGGAAUUCCUGGUGUAGCGGUGGAAUGCGCAGAUAUCAGGAGGAACACCGAUGGCGAAGGCAGGUCUCUGGGCUGUAACUGACGCUGAGGAGCGAAAGCAUGGGGAGCGAACAGGAUUAGAUACCCUGGUAGUCCAUGCCGUAAACGUUGGGCACUAGGUGUGGGGACCAUUCCACGGUUUCCGCGCCGCAGCUAACGCAUUAAGUGCCCCGCCUGGGGAGUACGGCCGCAAGGCUAAAACUCAAAGGAAUUGACGGGGGCCCGCACAAGCGGCGGAGCAUGCGGAUUAAUUCGAUGCAACGCGAAGAACCUUACCAAGGCUUGACAUGUUCUCGAUCGCCGUAGAGAUACGGUUUCCCCUUUGGGGCGGGUUCACAGGUGGUGCAUGGUUGUCGUCAGCUCGUGUCGUGAGAUGUUGGGUUAAGUCCCGCAACGAGCGCAACCCUCGUUCCAUGUUGCCAGCACGUAAUGGUGGGGACUCAUGGGAGACUGCCGGGGUCAACUCGGAGGAAGGUGAGGACGACGUCAAAUCAUCAUGCCCCUUAUGUCUUGGGCUUCACGCAUGCUACAAUGGCCGGUACAAUGGGUUGCGAUACUGUGAGGUGGAGCUAAUCCCAAAAAGCCGGUCUCAGUUCGGAUUGGGGUCUGCAACUCGACCCCAUGAAGUCGGAGUCGCUAGUAAUCGCAG
Molecule: ribosomal RNA, 1178 nt
Rfam family: Bacterial small subunit ribosomal RNA